GCAGCUUUCACGGUCUUUCAGCGACUCACUCACCAGCAGCACGCAGCAAAAAUGUCCUCUCCAAUAUCCAUAAUGCCAAACAACAUGAACGAGUCAAUCUUCUGUACCGACGUGGUCUGCUAUCCUAUGCCUUUUGCGGGAUCCCUGUGUGAGGCGGAUGCAGGAUGAUGGCUGUGUCAGCUGCUGCAGAAUCUCCAGAGAUGACUGCUGCUGAAACACCACACUCUGCCAGGCAGUGGAACCACAGGAGUUAAUGCAUCCUGACAAAGGAGCUCCAACAAGAGGACUGCUGCCCUCUGCAUCCAGUCAUUCUCCUGGGUUAAGCGUUGGGAGAUGAAACUUGAGAGAAGAUGUCCCAGCUGUGAUGUUCACUGUUGGCAGUCUUUGUCCGACACAAUACUUUGCAGUCUCCUGGUUUAAGCGUUGGGAGAUGAAACUUGAGAGAAGAUGUCCCAGCUGUGAUGUUCACUGUUGAGCAGUCUUUGGCCGACAGGUGACAAGCGGCACUGCGAAGGAGAUGGCUCAUUUUCCUGAUGGAAAACAAAUGUGCUUUUUAUUUUUAUAAAUAGACUUUUUUCAUUUUAGUUUGCUGCAUCUGACUGGCAACAUUUGACAUGCACAUGGUACAUCCAGGCAGAAUGCAUCCGCUGUACAUGAAAUGUAAAACGGAAUCCUGAAAAUAAAACUAUUCGACUACA
Molecule: long non-coding RNA, 698 nt
Organism: Trematomus bernacchii (emerald rockcod)
Lineage: Eukaryota; Metazoa; Chordata; Actinopteri; Perciformes; Nototheniidae
Exons: 5
Source: RefSeq, a predicted model, not a curated record